RNAcentral lists this ribosomal RNA (351 nucleotides) under uncultured bacterium. RNAcentral describes it as "partial 16S ribosomal RNA". It matches the Rfam family "Bacterial small subunit ribosomal RNA", at positions 338 to 686 of the family's 1533-position model. The record is from RNAcentral.
CCUACGGGAGGCUGCAGUGAGGAAUAUUGGUCAAUGGGCGCGAGCCUGAACCAGCCAAGUAGCGUGAAGGAUGACUGCCCUACGGGUUGUAAACUUCUUUUAUAAAGGAAUAAAGUGAGGCACGUGUGCCUUUUUGUAUGUACUUUAUGAAUAAGGAUCGGCUAACUCCGUGCCAGCAGCCGCGGUAAUACGGAGGAUCCGAGCGUUAUCCGGAUUUAUUGGGUUUAAAGGGAGCGUAGGUGGAUUAUUAAGUCAGUUGUGAAAGUUUGCGGCUCAACCGUAAAAUUUCAGUUGAAACUGGCAGUCUUGAGUACAGUAGAGGUGGGCGGAAUUCGGGGGGGAGCCGUGAAA